RNAcentral lists this ribosomal RNA (1068 nucleotides) under Acinetobacter radioresistens. Its description in RNAcentral is "bacterial SSU rRNA". It matches the Rfam family "Bacterial small subunit ribosomal RNA", at positions 56 to 1120 of the family's 1533-position model. Lineage: Bacteria; Pseudomonadati; Pseudomonadota; Gammaproteobacteria; Moraxellales; Moraxellaceae. The record is from RNAcentral.
UGCAGUCGAGCGGAUGAAGUAGCUUGCUACUGGAUUCAGCGGCGGACGGGUGAGUAAUGCUUAGGAAUCUGCCUAUUAGUGGGGGACAACGUUCCGAAAGGAGCGCUAAUACCGCAUACGUCCUACGGGAGAAAGCAGGGGACCUUCGGGCCUUGCGCUAAUAGAUGAGCCUAAGUCGGAUUAGCUAGUUGGUAGGGUAAAGGCCUACCAAGGCGACGAUCUGUAGCGGGUCUGAGAGGAUGAUCCGCCACACUGGGACUGAGACACGGCCCAGACUCCUACGGGAGGCAGCAGUGGGGAAUAUUGGACAAUGGGGGGAACCCUGAUCCAGCCAUGCCGCGUGUGUGAAGAAGGCCUUUUGGUUGUAAAGCACUUUAAGCGAGGAGGAGGCUACCUAGAUUAAUACUUUAGGAUAGUGGACGUUACUCGCAGAAUAAGCACCGGCUAACUCUGUGCCAGCAGCCGCGGUAAUACAGAGGGUGCGAGCGUUAAUCGGAUUUACUGGGCGUAAAGCGUGCGUAGGCGGCCAAUUAAGUCAAAUGUGAAAUCCCCGAGCUUAACUUGGGAAUUGCAUUCGAUACUGGUUGGCUAGAGUAUGGGAGAGGAUGGUAGAAUUCCAGGUGUAGCGGUGAAAUGCGUAGAGAUCUGGAGGAAUACCGAUGGCGAAGGCAGCCAUCUGGCCUAAUACUGACGCUGAGGUACGAAAGCAUGGGGAGCAAACAGGAUUAGAUACCCUGGUAGUCCAUGCCGUAAACGAUGUCUACUAGCCGUUGGGGCCCUUGAGGCUUUAGUGGCGCAGCUAACGCGAUAAGUAGACCGCCUGGGGAGUACGGUCGCAAGACUAANACUCAAAUGAAUUGACGGGGGCCCGCACAAGCGGUGGAGCAUGUGGUUUAAUUCGAUGCAACGCGAAGAACCUUACCUGGCCUUGACAUACAGAGAACUUUCCAGAGAUGGAUUGGUGCCUUCGGGAACUCUGAUACAGGUGCUGCAUGGCUGUCGUCAGCUCGUGUCNUGAGAUGUUGGGUUAAGUCCCGCAACGAGCGCAACCCUUUUCCUUAUUUGNCA